RNAcentral lists this ribosomal RNA (649 nucleotides) under Diacyclops improcerus. Its description in RNAcentral is "SSU rRNA". It matches the Rfam family "Eukaryotic small subunit ribosomal RNA", at positions 607 to 1251 of the family's 1831-position model. The record is from RNAcentral. Lineage: Eukaryota; Metazoa; Arthropoda; Copepoda; Cyclopoida; Cyclopidae.
AAGUUGUUGCGGUUAAAAAGCUCGUAGUUGGAUCUCGGCGGGCAGGGGGCGGUCCGUUAUUUGACGCGACUGCCCCAUUUGCCCGUGUUUCUUCGGCAGAACUCCCGGGGUGCUCUUCGCCGAGUGUCCCGUUGGGGGCUGCCAGGUUUACUUUGAAAAAAUUAGAGUGCUCCAAGCAGGCUCGACACGCCUGAAUAUUCGUGCAUGGAAUAAUGGAAUAGGACGUCGUUCCUAUUUUGUUGGUUUUCGGGAAUCGACGUAAUGAUUAAUAGGGACAGCCGGGGGCAUUAGUAUUCAGACGACAGAGGUGAAAUUCUUGGACCGUCUGGCGACUCACUGCUGCGAAAGCGUUUGCCAAGUAUGUUUUCAUUAAUCAAGAACGAAAGUUAGAGGUUCGAAGGCGAUCAGAUACCGCCCUAGUUCUAACCAUAAACGAUGCCAGCUAGCGAUCCGCAGACGUUUUUAUUGUAGGCUCUGCGGGAAGCUUCCGGGAAACCAAAGCGUUUGGGUUCCGGGGGAAGUAUGGUUGCAAAGCUGAAACUUAAAGAAAUUGACGGAAGGGCACCACCAGGCGUGGAACUUGCGGCUUAAUUUGACUCAACACUGGAAAUCUCACCAGGCCCGGACACCGGAAGGAUUGACAGAUUGA